This is a small nucleolar RNA of Suncus etruscus (white-toothed pygmy shrew), 120 nucleotides long. RefSeq annotates it as small nucleolar RNA SNORA26. Lineage: Eukaryota; Metazoa; Chordata; Mammalia; Eulipotyphla; Soricidae. The transcript has a single exon. The record is from RefSeq and is a predicted model, not a curated record.
GUGCCCUCUUAAGGCUGACUCAGUGCUUUAAGAAGCUAGUGUAGAGGGUAAAGAAAGGUUCUGUUAAACCCAGAGAGGAGAUCUUACAAACUCUUCCUUAGACCUGUCUGAGCUUUAAUA